UUAAUUGCAUUGAUAGGAGAGAGGGUGAAAACGGAUUCGAUAAAUCCGUAAUUAGCAGAAAGCAUAUGAUGGAGUUCUUUUUUAAAAAAUAAAAAUCACUCAAUGGCUUCGGUUAUUUAACAACCGGAGCAUUUAGUGAGUUUAUUAUAUUAAAAAAAUUACCAAAUGCUUCGGUCGCAUUCCUUAUAUUAUAAUUUUGCCUCGCUCCCCCAUUUUUUCCCGCCUCUCUAUUUGUUCUGUUUCUCUCUCUUCCCCUCUUCACUGUCGAUCUUCUCCAUCUCCUUCUCCUUCUCCUUAUCAUCACCAUUGUUUUCAUGCUAAAACCCCUAAAUUUGUUCACAAAUUCGAACCCUCAUUUUUAGGGUUUCCAGUUCAAUUUUCACUCGCAUUUCCCCCCAUUCUACACUAAAAACAAGUUUUUGCCAUAAUUCGUUCGGUGAUUGGUAUGAUUGUUGAUGAAAGUUUAAAGUUAUGAUUUGAAGUCUUUACUUGUGAAAGUUUAAAGUUUGAUGAUGAAUUGGAAUUGAAGCUAGCCCAACUUUUUGGGGUUCGAGAUUCGGGUCUAGAUAUGAUAAAAGUUAUGGCUCAUGAAACUUUUAUGUAUGUGUUAGUAAUGAUUUCAUAUGAAGUAAUGGUUCAAAAAAAAUGCUUCAUGUGGUUUAUGCUUUUGUCCCUUCAAAUUAGGAGAUUGAUUUUGCCAAAUAAUUCAAUGAACUUUGAAGAUUUGCAGAUUUUAACAUCAUUUUCUUGUCAAAUUAUUACAUUUUUAUAUUGUUAGACCUGGGCAUAUGAGCCAACACAAUAUAUUUGGUGGAAAGAUGUUUAUGUUGCUCAAACAAUCUUCUUGUUGUUGGAAGUUUGCUCAUUUGAUCCGUAUAAUCUUGAGCAUAAUAUGCAAUAUACAAGUUGCUCUAUUGCUGUGA
Molecule: long non-coding RNA, 923 nt
Organism: Beta vulgaris subsp. vulgaris (sugar beet)
Lineage: Eukaryota; Viridiplantae; Streptophyta; Magnoliopsida; Caryophyllales; Amaranthaceae
Exons: 2
Source: RefSeq, a predicted model, not a curated record